ACAAGCAAAAGAAGGGCGUAUGGGGGAUGCCUGGGCUCUCAGAGGCAGACGAAGGACGCGAUAGCUGCGAAAUCCCGGGACUGCACAUGAGCAUGAUCCGUGGGUGUCCGAAUGGGGCACCCGGCCAGGUUGAGGCCUGUCACAACACCGCAAGGUGGGACCGAACCCGCUGAACUGAAACCUUAAGUAGGGCGGAGAAGAGAGAAACAAAAGUGAUUCUCGAGAUUAGUGGCGGCGAAUUCGGAUUAGUCCAACCAAUUGUUUGUUUUUCGGCAAUGUUGGGGUUGUAGGACCACGGGAUUCUUUGCGUGACGAACCGGAGCAGUUGGAAAGCUGACGAUAGGGGUGACAGUCCUCGUAGGGCAAUGACGUUAAAGAUUGUGGUAAUCGUGAGUAGCGCGGGGCCUAAACCUGUGUGGAAUCCGGCGGUACCACCGCAAGACUAAAUACUCCUGAGGGACCGAUAGUGUACCAGUACCGUGAGGAAAAGGUGAAAAGAACCCUGAACAAGGGAGUGAAAAAGACCCCUGAAACCAUACCCUACAAGCGGUCCGGAGCCCUUUGGGGGUGACGGCGUGGCCUUUUUGCAUAAUGAGCCUACGAAGUUACUUUUACCGGCAAGGAUUAAGAAGCACCUCAGUGCGCACUCGCAGCGAAAGCGAGUCUGAAUCAGGGGUCGCCAUAAGUCGGUAGUAGUAGACGCGAAACCGUGGCGUCUACCAGGGCAGGUUGAAGCUGUGGUAACACACAGUGGAGGACCGACCCGUUGACGUUGAAAAGUCUUGGAUGACCUGUGGGUAGGGGUGAAAGGCCAACAGCUCGGAAAUAGCUCGUACUCCCCGAAAUGCAUUUAGGUGCGCUCCUGAUAGUUAUAUAUAGGUAGAGCUACUGCUUGGAUGCGGGGCUUCACCGCCUACCAUCCUUAACAACCUCCGAAUGCUAUAUAAUGUUUCGGGCCAGUGAGGGCAUGGGUGCUAAGGUCCAUGUCCGAGAGGAAAGAACCGCGGAACCAUAGCUAAGGUCCCCAAAUAUGUUGCGAGUUGACAAAACGCGUGGACGCAUGGAAUCCAGGAUUUGGCUGGAAGCAGCCAUCCAUUUAAAGAGUGCGUAACAGCUACACUGGUCCGAGCGGUCCCGCAAUGGAUAAUGAUCGGGCAUAAGCACAUUACCGAAGCUAUGGACUCCAGGAGUGGUAGGGGAGCAUUCCGUUCUGCGAUGAAGCGGGCCUGCGAGGUCCCGUGGAGCGUACGGAAACGAAAAUGUAGGCAUACUUAACGAUAAUUGUCUGGCGAUAAACCGCACGACCGAAAGCCCAAGGUUUUCCCGGCCAUGCUAAUCAGCCGGGGGUCAGUCGGGACCUAACACGAACCCGGAAGGGGCAGUGGAUGGGCAGCGGUUAAUAUUCCGCUACCCGCAAUGCGACAAAAGUGACGGGGCGCCGAGGUUGGUGCGUGCUGACGGAAUAGCACGUUGAACCCUCGGGGAUAGUACACCAAGGCCACGGCCGCGGUGAUAAUCCAGCGAGGCUCUCCAAGAAAAGCGAGUCAUUGCGGCCCGUACCGUAAACCGACACCCGGUGGUCGGGAUGAGAAUUCUAAGGCGCUCGAGAGAUUCAUGGUCAGGAACUAGGCAAAAUGGACGCGUAACUUCGGGAGAAGCGUCGCUCCCCUCCGGGGAGCCGCAGUGAACUGGCCCAGGCGACUGGUUUAUCAAAAACACAGGCUCUGCCAAUCGAAGAUGACUUAUAUGGGCCUGACAAAACCUGCCGGUGCCCGGCAAGGUUAAAGGGAUAAUGUCCGCCGCCAGGUGAAGCAUUUAACUGAAGCCCCGGUAACGGCGGCCGUAACUAUAACGGUCCUAAGGUAGCGAAAUUCCUUGUCGGGUAAGUUCCGACCUGCACGAAUGGUGCACGAUCUGGGCACUGUCUCGACCAUGAUCUCGGUGAAAUUGUAGUAUCGGUGAAGAUGCCGGUUACCCGCAGUGGGACGAAAAGACCUCACCGUGCACCUUUACUAUAGCUUCGUAUUGACCCUGGGCAAGGGAUGUGUAGGAUAGCUUGGGAGGUUUGAAGCGCUGUCGCCAGGCAGUGUGGAUCCGUUGUUGAAAUACCAGCCUCGUUUGUCCGGGGCCUAACCCAGCGAUGGGGACAGUGCGUGGUGGGUAGUUUGACUGGGGUGGUCGCCUCCAAAGAGUAACGGAGGCUUCCAAAGGUGCCCUCACACGGUUGGCAAUCGUGUGCAGAGUGCAAUGGCACAAGGGCGCUUGACUGUGAGACAUACGGUCGAACAGGUACGAAAGUAGGGCAUAGUGAUCCGGUGGUUCCGCAUGGAAGGGCCAUCGCUCAAAGGAUAAAAGGUACGCCGGGGAUAACAGGAUGAUCUCCCCCAAGAGCUCAUAUCGACGGGGGGGUUUGGCACCUCGAUGUCGGCUCGUCACAUCCUGGGGCUGGAGAAGGUCCCAAGGGUGGGCUGUUCGCCCAUUAAAGUGGCACGCGAGCUGGUUCAGAACGUCGUGAGACAGUUCGGUCUCUAUCUACUGCGGGCGUGAAGAGAUUUGAGUGGAUCUGGUUCUAGUACGAGAGGACCGAACUGGACCGACCGCUGGUGCGCCGGUUGUCCCGCCAGGGGCAUCGCCGGGUAGCUAAGUCGGGAUGGGAUAAGCGCUGAGGCCCAUAACGCGAACCCGCACAAGAUGAGAUCUCUUUAAAGGGCCGUGGGAGAUGACCACGUCGCAUAGGCCGUAGGUGGAAGUGCAGCGAUGCAUGUAGCCGAGCGGUACUAAUUGCCCGUAAGCUUGCGCAC
Molecule: ribosomal RNA, 2801 nt
Filed under: Saccharum spontaneum (wild sugarcane)
Lineage: Eukaryota; Viridiplantae; Streptophyta; Magnoliopsida; Poales; Poaceae
Description: bacterial LSU rRNA
Rfam family: Bacterial large subunit ribosomal RNA
Source: RNAcentral